RNAcentral lists this transfer RNA (77 nucleotides) under Escherichia coli. RNAcentral describes it as "tRNA-Arg". It matches the Rfam family "tRNA". From Rfam's summary of the family: Transfer RNA (tRNA) molecules are approximately 80 nucleotides in length. The record is from RNAcentral. Lineage: Bacteria; Pseudomonadati; Pseudomonadota; Gammaproteobacteria; Enterobacterales; Enterobacteriaceae.
GCGCCGUUAGCUCAGCUGGAUAGGGCAAUUGCCUUCUAAGCAAUCGGUCACUGGUUCGAAUCCAGUAUGGUGCACCA